GACCCUGAAUACAGCCUAGUCCUUGAUGUCCAUGCCCAUUAUUCAGUGCAGCGGAUUUGGGGCGCGAUUUUUAGGGUUCACGAAUUUGGGUUUUUGAUUUAGGAUGCUUCUUUCAUGGGUAUAUUAUGGCAAGAAAAUGGAAGCUAGAACUGGGGGCAAUUUUCAAGGUGCUUCACGGACUUGAAGGCGAAUUUGGGUUUCGAUAAAUUAGAAAUCCAAAAAACUUUCAUAGAGACUAGGGGGGUCACAUCUCUCACACAAUGUUCUCAGAAAACUCGGCCGAAAGGUGAAGAGAUCAACGAUAGGAAAGGUGAACUUGGGCUACUGUUUAUUUACUUGAAUAGGCGUGGCAGCAACAGAGAAGGGUGACGAUGGUAUGGGCUGCAUGGCUAGUAGUUAAGAGCAAGUGUGGUGUUAGGAGGAAGUGGAUCUUUCGCCCCAUGGUGGUGGGAAAUUCCAGCCCACAUUCCACUCCCUGUUGCCACUUUUGUGUUUUUUGGUUUGUUGUUAAAAUUUGGAAUUCCAUCUUAAAAUGUCAACUUUAUUAAGAGGAGUAGUCUAAAACCUUAUAAGUUGGUUUAUGUUUCUAUCUUUAUUUGAUGUGAAAUUUUAUCCUUUAACAUAUCUCCGCAAGUUUGUGGCUCUUCUGAGCAGACUAAUCUUGAAAUUUGUAUGCUUAUUUCUUGAAUCUUAAUCGGAUUAAAUCGCUCUUUGAAAUU
This 719-nucleotide long non-coding RNA is filed under the name Olea europaea (common olive). RNAcentral describes it as "long non-coding RNA (OEUR_LNC005283)". The record is from RNAcentral. Lineage: Eukaryota; Viridiplantae; Streptophyta; Magnoliopsida; Lamiales; Oleaceae.